Molecule: long non-coding RNA, 234 nt
Filed under: Durio zibethinus
Lineage: Eukaryota; Viridiplantae; Streptophyta; Magnoliopsida; Malvales; Malvaceae
Description: long non-coding RNA (DZIB_LNC001669)
Source: RNAcentral
UGUGUUGGAAUGCUCAAUUUAUAGAGAAAUUGAGGAAAUAGCCAUUGAGAAUGCUUAGGAAAUGAAAAUAGCCAUUGAAUAGUUGAUAAAAUAACUGUUGGAGAUGUAUUUGCCCAGACCCGAUCGAUCCCUUCCAUGAGGGGAUUGAUCUUGUCAGUGGCUGGGUGGUUAUCUCCUGUUUUACACUCUAUUUACUAAUUUGAUCAUAUCUUGAGUUAUAUAAAUCAAAAUCAC